GCAAUGCCGCGUGCAGGAAGAAGGCCUUCGGGUUGUAAACUGCUUUUGUACGGAACGAAACGGUCCGGGUUAAUACCCUGGGCUAAUGACGGUACCGUAAGAAUAAGCACCGGCUAACUACGUGCCAGCAGCCGCGGUAAUACGUAGGGUGCAAGCGUUAAUCGGAAUUACUGGGCGUAAAGCGUGCGCAGGCGGUUUUGUAAGACAGGCGUGAAAUCCCCGGGCUUAACCUGGGAAUGGCGCUUGUGACUGCAAAGCUGGAGUGCGGCAGAGGGGGAUGGAAUUCCGCGUGUAGCAGUGAAAUGCGUAGAUAUGCGGAGGAACACCGAUGGCGAAGGCAAUCCCCUGGGCCUGCACUGACGCUCAUGCACGAAAGCGUGGGGAGCAAACAGGAUUAGAUACCCUGGUAGUCCACGCCCUAAACGAUGUCAACUGGUUGUUGGGUCUCUUCUGACUCAGUAACGAAGCUAACGCGUGAAGUUGACCGCCUGGGGAGUACGGCCGCAAGGUUG
This 512-nucleotide ribosomal RNA is filed under the name uncultured Pseudomonadota bacterium. RNAcentral describes it as "bacterial SSU rRNA". It matches the Rfam family "Bacterial small subunit ribosomal RNA", at positions 391 to 896 of the family's 1533-position model. The record is from RNAcentral. Lineage: Bacteria; Pseudomonadati; Pseudomonadota.